AGGAUAGAGGUGCGGUUGACAAGAAUAGUCAUGGUGCCAAGGUCUAGCAAGGGCCGUUGCCGUGAUGAAAGGGGAAACCGCCGAAAGGGAAAAGCUGCGACCUUCCCUUGGUCACACGGAUAAGAUCCGCUUGACUGUCGCUGAUGCGGAGAGCUAUGU
RNAcentral lists this non-coding RNA (159 nucleotides) under bovine gut metagenome. RNAcentral's name for it is "Lysine riboswitch". It matches the Rfam family "Lysine riboswitch aptamer". Rfam says of the family: Riboswitches are metabolite binding domains within certain messenger RNAs that serve as precision sensors for their corresponding targets. Allosteric rearrangement of mRNA structure is mediated by ligand binding, and this results in modulation of gene expression. The record is from RNAcentral.